AUAUUUGGUACUCAUAUAUCUUCUUUGGUUAAAAUAUUUAAUUAAAACAAAUUAAGGUAACACAUGCCCAUGGUUUUAAAAAAUUCAAACAGUCAAAAGGGAAAACCGAAUCUCCUUCGUAUCCCUGGUAGGCCCGUGAAGAUGACAGCUGAGGAAACCGAGGCACAGGUCACUUUCCCCUGGUGACCCAGCUGGGAGGUGAGAGCGCUGGCAUUUGAACCAAGGCAGUGUGGCUCCAACGCCAAACUUUUAUCCAUUUUUACGCCUUUGGACUUCAAUGGGAACUACCCUACCAGCUUUCCUGAGUCUCCACCUUGCAGAUAGCGGAUGGUGGGACAUCUCAGCCUCCAUAAUCACCUCACAAAGCUGGUGACAUCUUGGAAGCCGCGUGUUGAGGAUGGCAGACUCACCGCUCUGAAGGACCACAUGGAAGAGUUGCUCCCAGCCCUGAACAGCUACCAAAAACUAUGAGAUAAGCAAGAAAUGCAGCUCCGGCGGACUGGGCUUCCACAGUGAUUCAUUCAGCCAGUAAACUAGAGGUCGCCAUGGGAGGCUGGGUCCAAAUCUGGCCCCAGGGCAUGUUUUCAUUGGCCUAUUUGGGUUGAAGGAAUUGCCAAAACGUGAAAACUGAAAGGCUUCGUAGAGUCAUCUGGAUUUCCGGUUUCUUUUAAAAACAUUUGGAAAAUCUGACUUGCCUGGCCUGCAUUCCGGCGUGGCAUUCGUCAGCUGGAGAUACAGCCAACUGCCCCCUUAGAAGCCCGUUCACCAUGGUCCUCGCCACUUCUUAAUGUGAGAACCGGCCACCCCACUCACUUACGUAACCCACCUGGCUCCUGUAGGCAUUUGACUGUGGGACCCUGUGAUACACGGUAGUUACUGAGUGACCGUCCUGUGCGGCUGCUGUUUCGGUUGAACAAGUAGCCAGCCAGGUGAGUGGGGGCAGGGCGGGUGGUACUGCUGUAUGCCUGCAGAACGAUGUACCUGAGAGUCCGGGUACAGUGGGCAGAGCCUGUCACAGGUAGGAAGGAGAUGGUGAAGGGGCCCUCUUUUCCUAAUCUCACGCCUGGUAUAUGACAGUCACUUUUUUAUAAUCUUAGUUUUCUUCCUUGAAGUGUAGCCUACAUACAUAUGAUAUGUGUAGCACACAUAUCAUAAAUAUACAGUGUGAUGAAGUGUCACAGACUGGACACAACUGUAUGACCAACACCCAGCUCAAGAAAGAGAAGAUCACCAGCACCUGCCAGAAUCCACCCCACGUCCCCUGUUAGUCUCUGACAGCCCCCUCUCGUUCCCGCCAAGAAUAACCACUAUCCUGAGUUUUAACAGCAUCAAUUGAUUCGCCCAUUUCUGCAUUUUAUGAUGUACGGAGCUGCAGCAGCCAUCUUGCAACCAUGAAGGAAAGACCAAGAGAACUGCAAUGACAUCAGCCCAACAUCAGUGAGCAGCUAAACUGACACUAGUACUUGCUCUUCUGGACUUCUUGUCAUAUGAUAGGAAUAAACUUCUAUUUAUCACUUUCUGUGACUUGCAACCAAAUUCAC
RNAcentral lists this long non-coding RNA (1541 nucleotides) under Equus caballus (horse). RNAcentral describes it as "lncRNA (ENSECAG00000058083.1)". Lineage: Eukaryota; Metazoa; Chordata; Mammalia; Perissodactyla; Equidae. The record is from RNAcentral.